CCUGGUUUCUGUGAGGCUGGUCAUCAUGAUCUCUGCUGUCAUCACCCUCUACAUCAGGGAUACAUUCUACAAACAACACGGAUUUAAGCGAGUGACAGAAGGGGGCAGAACGACAGAUUUGUACCUUGUUAUCUCGGGGAUUUGAACUUGCAACCUUUCGACUGCUAAUCCAACGCUCUAACCACUAGGCUACCCUGCCGCCCCAUACAGCAGCAGAUGAUGGUCCUUUUUAUGUAACAAUAAUGAUGUUUCUUUUUAUUUAACAAUGUACAGUACACAGAAACAGAAGGAUGUUGCCUGCACAUGUAAACCAGAUUGGGUCAUUUAAAAAGUUUUCAAAAAUAUUUACUUUUUCUUUUCAUUUGUUGCUAUAUAAAUAACAUACCUUAGAUAUUAUUUUUUUAUUUGUUAUAUUUUUUAGGAAGUAGUUCUGAAAGUAACGCUCACAAGCCAAAAGUGGGACCUGAAAAUUGCGUGCUACGCCACAAAUGUGCAGAUAUGUGUAACACUUCAUUGCUCUCUCUCGCUCUGCUGUGUGUGUGUGUGUGUGUGUGUGUGUGUGUGUGUGUUUGUGUCUUGCUAGCUGUCACUCAAAUGGCAAGGGGCUGAAGCUCAUCGGCUGAAAUGCGAAUUUCUACCGGGCUGGCGCACGUUGAGGUAAAUGUAGGGAAAAUGGUGCCGCACAGCUUCCAGACAACAGCUGCUUAUUGAGGUAAAACGUUAAUUCUGCGUAUAGAUUAUGCAUGUAUGAACUACACAUUGAAACAUACAGCCCAAAGGAAAAAAAACACUUACCAGUCGCCAAAGUACCGUAGCAUGUCUUUAGCCUAAUGUAAGAUAGCAUAGCAUUUCAAGGCAUAUUAUUAGGGCUUGACAUAAUAUAGCAUUACAUGACAUAGUAUAAUGCACAGCAUAACAUGAUAUAAGAAUAUCUGACUGUACAGUAUCACAUGUUUUUGGUUCAUUUGUUUCUGUUUAAUACCGACCAUGAUACAUUCUUUGUUUCUGUUUAAUACCCACUAUGAUAAAUUAUUUGUUUCUGUUUAAUACCCACUAUGAUAAAUUAUUUGUUUCUGUUUAAUACCCAUUAAGAUGAAUGAUGUGUUUCUGUUUAAUACCCACUAUGAUAAAUUAUUAAGGUAAUUUCUGAUGAGCCGACAUUUGCAGAGUUUACCGAUGCAGUCCCCACACAAGCAGACGAAAACCGUUACAGAAUCACCCACCAACCAAGGACCAAGCAGCGUGGUAUCAGGCAGCAGCGAUCUCCGGACUCAUGGACAUGGGAGGAGAUUUUGGACGGCCAAUCCCUCCCCCCUGUGUCAUCGAUAGCCAGCUAGCGUAUACGGGGAGACGCCUCCUGAGGGUUCGACCACUGUGCAGGGGUUUCCAGUAUCCGGUUGAGUGGGAGGGUUAUGGCCCGGGAAGAGGUGCUGGGUUCCAGCUAAAGACAUCUUGGACCCGUGCCCUCAUCGGCGAUUUUCACCGCCGACUCCCCAGUCGGCCGGGUAUGCACCCAGGUAGGACGCCAGGUGGCGUCCCUAGAGGGGGGGUACUGUCACACCCUGAUCUGUUUCACCUGUCCUUGUGAUUGUCUCCACCCCCUCCAGGUGUCGCUUAUUUUCCCUGUUGUAUUUAUCCAUUUAUUUCCUGUCUCUCUGUGCCAGUUCGUCUAAUAUGUUCAAGUCAACCAACGUGGUUUUCCCCGUGCGCCUGCUUUUCUAUUCUCUUUUACUAGUCCUCUCGGUUCUGAACUUGUGCCUGUUUUUCUGGACCCCACUUGCUUGACAAUUCUGCCUGCCCUGACCUCGAGCCUGCCUGCCAUUCUGUAUCUCUGCAACUCUGAACUGGUUUUGACCUUUUGCCUGUCCACGACCAUUAUUUUGCCUUACCCGUUUGGAUUGUUAAUAAAAAUCUUGGACUCUAA
Molecule: RNA transcript, 1924 nt
Organism: Oncorhynchus tshawytscha (Chinook salmon)
Lineage: Eukaryota; Metazoa; Chordata; Actinopteri; Salmoniformes; Salmonidae
Exons: 3
Source: RefSeq, a predicted model, not a curated record